This 385-nucleotide ribosomal RNA is filed under the name uncultured bacterium. Its description in RNAcentral is "bacterial SSU rRNA". It matches the Rfam family "Bacterial small subunit ribosomal RNA", at positions 30 to 416 of the family's 1533-position model. The record is from RNAcentral.
AUUGAACGCUGGCGGCAUGCCUUACACAUGCAAGUCGAACGGCAGCACGGGAGCAAUCCUGGUGGCGAGUGGCGAACGGGUGAGUAAUAUAUCGGAACGUGCCCAGUCGUGGGGAUAACGUAGCGAAAGCUACGCUAAUACCGCAUGCGAUCUAUGGAUGAAAGCGGGGGAUCGCAAGACCUCGCGCGAUUGGAGCGGCCGAUAUCAGAUUAGGUAGUUGGUGAGGUAAAGGCUCACCAAGCCGACGAUCUGUAGCUGGUCUGAGAGGACGACCAGCCACACUGGGACUGAGACACGGCCCAGACUCCUACGGGAGGCAGCAGUGGGGAAUUUUGGACAAUGGGCGCAAGCCUGAUCCAGCAAUGCCGCGUGCAGGAUGAAGGCC